AUAGCACCGUAGUCGGCGUAAUAAGUUUCGUCGGUGAAGGUUGUGAUGACUGCUUACAAUCGCCCUCGGGCAAUUUUUGACUCUGACCUCAAAUCAGGUAGGACUACCCGCUGAACUUAAGCAUAUCAAUAAGCGGAGGAAAAGAAACUAACAAGGAUUCCCUUAGUAGCGGCGAGCGAAGCGGGAAGAGCUCAAAUUUGAAAGCUGGCGUCCUUCGGGCGUCCGCAUUGUAAUCUAUAGAGGCGUUUUCUGUGCUGGACCGUGUCCAAGUCCCUUGGAACAGGGUAUCAAAGAGGGUGACAAUCCCGUACUUGACACGACAACCAGUGCUCUGUGAUACGUCUUCUACGAGUCGAGUUGUUUGGGAAUGCAGCUCAAAAUGGGUGGUGAAUUCCAUCUAAAGCUAAAUAUUGGCGAGAGACCGAUAGCGAACAAGUACCGUGAGGGAAAGAUGAAAAGCACUUUGGAAAGAGAGUUAAACAGUAUGUGAAAUUGUUGAAAGGGAAACGAUGGAGGUCAGUCGUGUCUGUAGGAUUCAGCCGUCUCUGGCGGUGUACUCCCUACAGACGGGUCAACAUCAGUUUUGGUCGGCGGAUAAAGGCAGGAGGAAGGUGGCACCCUCGGGUGUGUUAUAGCCUCUUGUUGCAUACGCUGGCCGAGACUGAGGAAUGCAGCUCGCCUUUAUGGCCGGGGUUCGCC
RNAcentral lists this ribosomal RNA (699 nucleotides) under Saitozyma podzolica. RNAcentral describes it as "eukaryotic LSU rRNA". The stretch from base 84 to 699 matches the Rfam family "Eukaryotic large subunit ribosomal RNA", at positions 1 to 631 of the family's 3401-position model. The record is from RNAcentral. Lineage: Eukaryota; Fungi; Basidiomycota; Tremellomycetes; Tremellales; Trimorphomycetaceae.